AUGUUUGCCGUGAUCGUUGCUAACCUAAUAAGAUAUGCGGUGGCGCAAGGUGGUGGCGGCAAUGGGGCGGUUGUGCUGCAUGUCCAAGGCUGCACUAGGGAGGCGCGAGCGGUGCCUCCCGCAAGAUUCCAUUGGGGCGACGCAUGGGCGGUAGCCACCCCCAAGACCCUGUUAGCACAAUUUCAUAAUAAUAUAUUUAUACUGAUUGUUGUGCAAAAUAGAACGCUAUUGUUUGUAGUUAUAUUAGUUUAUUUCCUCUAUAUACAAUGA
This 270-nucleotide ribosomal RNA is filed under the name Triticum aestivum (bread wheat). RNAcentral describes it as "partial small subunit ribosomal RNA". Lineage: Eukaryota; Viridiplantae; Streptophyta; Magnoliopsida; Poales; Poaceae. The record is from RNAcentral.